Molecule: small RNA, 82 nt
Organism: Legionella shakespearei DSM 23087
Lineage: Bacteria; Pseudomonadati; Pseudomonadota; Gammaproteobacteria; Legionellales; Legionellaceae
Rfam family: Legionella RNA 69
Source: Rfam
AGACAGCGCUAUCGCGCUUCCUCAGCCCGAACGGCAUCGAAGUAACGACUGGUUCAAACAACUUUCUUAUCCAUAACUCAUA